CGCCUGCCCUGUGACUUUACGUUUAACGGCCGCGGUAUUUUGACCGUGCGAAGGUAGCGCAAUCACUUGUCUCUUAAAUGGGGACCUGUAUGAAUGGCAUAACGAGGGUUUAACUGUCUCCUUUCCCAAGUUAAUGAAAUUGAUCCCCCCGUGCAGAAGCGGGGAUAUAAACAUAAGACGAGAAGACCCUAUGGAGCUUUAGGCAACAAGCAGUUCGUACCAAAAUAACCCUAAUAAAGGAACAAACCAUACUAAAAUCUGCCCUUGCCUUUGGUUGGGGCGACCGCGGGGAAACAAAAAACCCCCAUGUGGAAUGGGACUACCCGUCCUCCAAAAAAGAGCCCCCGCUCUAAAAAACAGAACAUCUGACCUUUAAGAUCCGGCAAAGCCGAUCAACGGACCGAGUUACCCUAGGGAUAACAGCGCAAUCCCCUUAUAGAGCCCAUAUCGACAAGGGGGUUUACGACCUCGAUGUUGGAUCAGGAUAUCCUAAUGGUGCAGCCGCUAUUAAGGG
RNAcentral lists this ribosomal RNA (514 nucleotides) under Pseudobalistes naufragium (stone triggerfish). RNAcentral describes it as "partial 16S ribosomal RNA". It matches the Rfam family "Bacterial large subunit ribosomal RNA", at positions 1856 to 2571 of the family's 2925-position model. Lineage: Eukaryota; Metazoa; Chordata; Actinopteri; Tetraodontiformes; Balistidae. The record is from RNAcentral.